CAUCAGUAUUAUUUAUCCAACACUGUUAGCGAAGGAAAAAAAAAUCCUAAAGAUCAUCUAUAUCUAAUAUCAUCACCAAAGCUGUGUCGCAACGCUUAACAUAAGAACACAAGCAUCAUAUGGUUUACCACUAGAGAUCCAGGGUUACAAGAACGAUAUGAAACACUCUCAUGAUCAGAACUUAGAACAUAUUAAUUACACAAUAAUAUGCUUCCCAUAAGACACUGGUUAGACGUAUCAAACCAAAAGUAACGUCCUGUCUAGGGGAAAACUAACAAGCAAAAGGAAAAAGACAGAGAAACAAAUUACCAAAUAGCUGG
Molecule: unclassified non-coding RNA, 320 nt
Filed under: Hevea brasiliensis (rubber tree)
Lineage: Eukaryota; Viridiplantae; Streptophyta; Magnoliopsida; Malpighiales; Euphorbiaceae
Source: RNAcentral